AAAUAACAUAAAGGAGUAGGUCCGGUAAGGACCGAUUUUGGCCUCAAAUUUCAGGUUCAUCUGACGAAAGAUUUUGACCACUUUUUAAACACAUUAGUGUCUAUUUCAUUUGAAUCAAUUAGUUUAUGUGAAAGAUUUUAACUGAUUUAGUCAUUAAAAACGAUCCGAUUCAAGCUCAAAUAUGAAAAAUCUACCAAAUAUGCCGAAAAAUGUCACUUUUCAGAUGGUUUUUGUCAAAAAUGAAAGUGGCCGCAUCCGUGUUCAUCCUCAACCUUUAUAUAUGUUAUGUAUUAUCAUAAAAUACAACUUACAUUUCAAUAUUAAGGAUGAACACUAAUG
RNAcentral lists this long non-coding RNA (339 nucleotides) under Mytilus galloprovincialis (Mediterranean mussel). Lineage: Eukaryota; Metazoa; Mollusca; Bivalvia; Mytilida; Mytilidae. The record is from RNAcentral.